This 207-nucleotide ribosomal RNA is filed under the name uncultured bacterium. Its description in RNAcentral is "partial 16S ribosomal RNA". It matches the Rfam family "Bacterial small subunit ribosomal RNA", at positions 568 to 773 of the family's 1533-position model. The record is from RNAcentral.
CGCGUAGGCGGCUUGGCAAGUCAGAUGUGAAAUCCCCGGGCUUAACUUGGGAAUUGCAUCUGAAACUGUUGAGCUUGAGUCCUGGAGGGGAUAGUGGAAUUCCCAGUGUAGCGGUGAAAUGCGUAGAUAUUGGGAGGAACACCUGUGGCGAAGGCGGCUAUCUGGACAGUGACUGACGCUGAGGCGCGAAAGCGUAGGGGAGCGAAC